This is a long non-coding RNA of Tympanuchus pallidicinctus (lesser prairie-chicken), 673 nucleotides long. RefSeq lists it as uncharacterized. The record is from RefSeq and is a predicted model, not a curated record. The transcript has 3 exons. Lineage: Eukaryota; Metazoa; Chordata; Aves; Galliformes; Phasianidae.
ACAUGGGAUCAUCGCAUAAUUUGGCUUUGGCGUUGCUGGGCUAUUUAAAGGCAGUGUCGCUGGGGUGUAGGUUCGAGCUGUGUGCCUGUAGGAAGGCUGCUGUCUGCACUGUUACUUGAUACAGGAGCUCAUCAGAGUGGCAGCCAACAUCCUGAUGUAACCUGCAGCCCUCACUCUGAUUGUAGCAUCUUGGAUGAGACCACGUGGCCAUGGGGAAACCCGGAGCUGUGCCUGAACAGGCAAAGCUGAUCUAAAAAUCACAUUGGAGGAAAUGAUUCAGCAAAUGGAUUGCAAGAAAAUCGAGUGAGACAGAGAUGGCGAGAAAUACUGAGUUGAAGAAAAUGCAUUAAAUGUAAAGGUAUUUCAAGCUCCACUAACAGCUUUAUAUCAAGCCCACAGGACUUUUAUUUGUUGCCUGAUCUCCACAGAAGUCCAGGAGAAGGUCAGAUGCCUCUCAUUUCACAGAAUGAUAGAAUAUCCUAAGGUGGAAGGUACCCAUAAGGAUUAUAGAAUCCAGCUCCAUUCAGUGCCUUUCCAAGGACGCAGUUCUGCUUUUUAUCCCUCCAAAGAAACAACAAAGAAAUGGAAAUAAAUCGGAGAGUUGAGAGGAGCAUGGACCAUUUUGGGGGGGAAAAGAAGACAUAGCAUAAAUAAAUCACAAAAUUGUGAUCUU